AUUGAACGCUGGCGGCAGGCCUAACACAUGCAAGUCGAGCGGAUGAAGGGAGCUUGCUCCUGGAUUCAGCGGCGGACGGGUGAGUAAUGCCUAGGAAUCUGCCUGGUAGUGGGGGAUAACGUCCGGAAACGGGCGCUAAUACCGCAUACGUCCUGAGGGAGAAAGUGGGGGAUCUUCGGACCUCACGCUAUCAGAUGAGCCUAGGUCGGAUUAGCUAGUUGGUGGGGCAAAGGCCUACCAAGGCGACGAUCCGUAACUGGUCUGAGAGGAUGAUCAGUCACACUGGAACUGAGACACGGUCCAGACUCCUACGGGAGGCAGCAGUGGGGAAUAUUGGACAAUGGGCGAAAGCCUGAUCCAGCCAUGCCGCGUGUGUGAAGAAGGUCUUCGGAUUGUAAAGCACUUUAAGUUGGGAGGAAGGGCAGUAAGUUAAUACCUUGCUGUUCUGACGUUACCAACAGAAUAAGCACCGGCUAACUUCGUG
This 484-nucleotide ribosomal RNA is filed under the name uncultured bacterium. RNAcentral describes it as "partial 16S ribosomal RNA". It matches the Rfam family "Bacterial small subunit ribosomal RNA", at positions 30 to 507 of the family's 1533-position model. The record is from RNAcentral.